Molecule: non-coding RNA, 46 nt
Organism: Schistosoma rodhaini
Lineage: Eukaryota; Metazoa; Platyhelminthes; Trematoda; Strigeidida; Schistosomatidae
Source: Rfam
GCACUGCUGAAGAGUCCCAUAAUAGCACGAAAUGGCCGUCCAGUGC